Molecule: ribosomal RNA, 738 nt
Filed under: uncultured Staphylococcus sp.
Lineage: Bacteria; Bacillati; Bacillota; Bacilli; Caryophanales; Staphylococcaceae
Description: bacterial SSU rRNA
Rfam family: Bacterial small subunit ribosomal RNA
Source: RNAcentral
AGUCGAGCGAACAGACGAGGAGCUUGCUCCUCUGACGUUAGCGGCGGACGGGUGAGUAACACGUGGAUAACCUACCUAUAAGACUGGGAUAACUUCGGGAAACCGGAGCUAAUACCGGAUAAUAUAUUGAACCGCAUGGUUCAAUAGUGAAAGACGGUUUUGCUGUCACUUAUAGAUGGAUCCGCGCCGCAUUAGCUAGUUGGUAAGGUAACGGCUUACCAAGGCGACGAUGCGUAGCCGACCUGAGAGGGUGAUCGGCCACACUGGAACUGAGACACGGUCCAGACUCCUACGGGAGGCAGCAGUAGGGAAUCUUCCGCAAUGGGCGAAAGCCUGACGGAGCAACGCCGCGUGAGUGAUGAAGGUCUUCGGAUCGUAAAACUCUGUUAUUAGGGAAGAACAAAUGUGUAAGUAACUAUGCACGUCUUGACGGUACCUAAUCAGAAAGCCACGGCUAACUACGUGCCAGCAGCCGCGGUAAUACGUAGGUGGCAAGCGUUAUCCGGAAUUAUUGGGCGUAAAGCGCGCGUAGGCGGUUUUUUAAGUCUGAUGUGAAAGCCCACGGCUCAACCGUGGAGGGUCAUUGGAAACUGGAAAACUUGAGUGCAGAAGAGGAAAGUGGAAUUCCAUGUGUAGCGGUGAAAUGCGCAGAGAUAUGGAGGAACACCAGUGGCGAAGGCGACUUUCUGGUCUGUAACUGACGCUGAUGUGCGAAAGCGUGGGGAUCAAACAGGAUUA